Molecule: ribosomal RNA, 333 nt
Filed under: uncultured Geobacter sp.
Lineage: Bacteria; Pseudomonadati; Thermodesulfobacteriota; Desulfuromonadia; Geobacterales; Geobacteraceae
Description: bacterial SSU rRNA
Rfam family: Bacterial small subunit ribosomal RNA
Source: RNAcentral
CGUGAUCCGCCCUUCGGGGUGGUGAAAGUGGCGCACGGGUGAGUAACGCGUGGAUAAUCUGCCCGAGGAUUUGGGAUAACAUCUCGAAAGGGGUGCUAAUACCGAAUAAGCCCACGGGGUCUACGGAUCUUGCGGGAAAAGGGGGGGACCUUCGGGCCUCCUGUCCUUGGAUGAGUCUGCGUACCAUUAGCUAGUUGGUGGGGUAAUGGCCUACCAAGGCGACGAUGGUUAGCUGGUCUGAGAGGAUGAUCAGCCACACUGGAACUGAGACACGGUCCAGACUCCUACGGGAGGCAGCAGUGGGGAAUUUUGCGCAAUGGGGGAAACCCUGAC